Molecule: ribosomal RNA, 253 nt
Filed under: uncultured bacterium
Lineage: Bacteria
Description: partial 16S ribosomal RNA
Rfam family: Bacterial small subunit ribosomal RNA
Source: RNAcentral
GACGAACCGUGCGAACGUUGUUCGGAUUCACUGGGCUUAAAGGGCGCGUAGGCGGGUGAUCCAGUCCGGGGUGAAAUCCUCCAGCUUAACUGGAGAAUAGCCUUGGAUACUGGUCGUCUUGAGGAAGGUAGGGGCAUGUGGAACUUCCGGUGGAGCGGUGAAAUGCGUAGAUAUCGGAAGGAACGCCGGUGGCGAAAGCGACGUGCUGGACCUUUUCUGACGCUGAGGCGCGAAAGCCAGGGGAGCAAACGGG